Molecule: ribosomal RNA, 254 nt
Filed under: uncultured bacterium
Lineage: Bacteria
Description: partial 16S ribosomal RNA
Rfam family: Bacterial small subunit ribosomal RNA
Source: RNAcentral
UACGAAGGGGGCUAGCGUUGUUCGGAAUUACUGGGCGUAAAGCGUAUGUAGGCGGAUCGUUAAGUCGGGGGUGAAAUCCCGAGGCUCAACCUCGGAACUGCCUUCGAUACUGGCGAUCUUCGAGUCCGGGAGAGGUGAGUGGAACUCCGAGUGUAGAGGUGAAAUUCGUAGAUAUUCGGAAGAACACCAGUGGCGAAGGCGGCUCACUGGCCCGGUACUGACGCUGAUGAGCGAAAGCCAGGGGAGCAAACGGG